AACGAACGCUGGCGGCAGGCCUAACACAUGCAAGUCGAGCGGACCUUUCGGGGUCAGCGGCGGACGGGUGAGUAACGCGUGGGAAUAUGCCCUUCUCUACGGAAUAGUCCUGGGAAACUGGGGGUAAUACCGUAUACGCCCUUUGGGGGAAAGAUUUAUCGGGGAAGGAUUAGCCCGCGUUGGAUUAGGUAGUUGGUGGGGUAAUGGCCUACCAAGCCGACGAUCCAUAGCUGGUUUGAGAGGAUGAUCAGCCACACUGGGACUGAGACACGGCCCAGACUCCUACGGGAGGCAGCAGUGAGGAAUCUUAGACAAUGGGGGCAACCCUGAUCUAGCCAUGCCGCGUGAGUGAUGAAGGCCUUAGGGUUGUAAAGCUCUUUCAGCUGGGAAGAUAAUGACGGUACCAGCAGAAGAAGCCCCGGCUAACUCCGUG
This 433-nucleotide ribosomal RNA is filed under the name uncultured bacterium. RNAcentral describes it as "partial 16S ribosomal RNA". It matches the Rfam family "Bacterial small subunit ribosomal RNA", at positions 29 to 507 of the family's 1533-position model. The record is from RNAcentral.